Molecule: long non-coding RNA, 852 nt
Organism: Carassius gibelio (silver crucian carp)
Lineage: Eukaryota; Metazoa; Chordata; Actinopteri; Cypriniformes; Cyprinidae
Exons: 3
Source: RefSeq, a predicted model, not a curated record
GGGAGAGCGGAGUAUCCGGGCGGACGUUACCCACAGCGGUGAAAGAUACACAUUCUCAUACCGCUGUCACAUCAACCCCGUUUGGACAGUCUCUUGACUGCGAGGUGACACUGACAUUGGUCUCUCAAAAUGACGAAGCUCCUGUUACAAGCCAGGAUGACCAAACAACACAAAGUGAAGAUGACGAUUUGGACAGCACCCAAAUGGCACCUGUGGGAAGUGGCUCAGACACCGAGAGACAGAAAGAUGCUCCAAGCAAGAUAACCAUGAACAAUAUACUUGAAAAACAAUAUCAAAUAUUAACACUGGAAGAGACUAAACUAAAAUUAGAAAUACAAAAACUAGAAUUAGAGAAAACUAAGCUAAAGUUGGAGCUACAAAAACUUGGACAUGAACUAUAGAUCUCAUCGAACAUUGUCCAAUAACUAAUCAAACAAUUGUCUAUUUAAUAAGUACUGGUAUUUAAUUUUGAAUUUACAUAUGUAAUGUUUACAUACAGAAUCUUUAGAGAUAUUUAAGAGAUUUGAAGAAUUUUAGUGUAAGUUAAUGUGUAGUGAUUUGAAGAUUAUAUCAUAUUUCAGCUGAUUGUACUGAUACUAUGCAUCAAAUAUUUUGUAAGUAUUGUCUCAAUUAAUAAAUUAUAAUAUGUCCACUUAAUUUAAAAGUAUAAAUUCUUUCAUUGUUCUCAGUCAAACUGAGAAAAUGUUUUCUACAAUCAUCUGUCGAAUGUAACGCCCAGAUCCAUCUUCCCCUCCUGCCUCAGUAAUCUCCAAAGUGGGUUCUUCACAAAUUUGGUCAUGCUCCAAGUCUGGGAGUGCAAGAUCUCUAUUAAAUGGAAAAUGAUAUUUUACU